RNAcentral lists this ribosomal RNA (505 nucleotides) under uncultured bacterium. RNAcentral describes it as "bacterial SSU rRNA". It matches the Rfam family "Bacterial small subunit ribosomal RNA", at positions 501 to 1008 of the family's 1533-position model. The record is from RNAcentral.
CUACGUGCCAGCAGCCGCGGUAAUACGGAAGGUCCAGGCGUUAUCCGGAUUUAUUGGGUUUAAAGGGAGCGUAGGCUGGAGAUUAAGUGUGUUGUGAAAUGUAGACGCUCAACGUCUGAAUUGCAGCGCAUACUGGUUUCCUUGAGUACGCACAACGUUGGCGGAAUUCGUCGUGUAGCGGUGAAAUGCUUAGAUGUGACGAAGAACUCCGAUUGCGAAGGCAGCUGACGGGAGCGCAACUGACGCUUAAGCUCGAAGGUGCGGGUAUCAAACAGGAUUAGAUACCCUGGUAGUCCGCACAGUAAACGAUGGAUGCCCGCUGUUGGUACCUGGUAUCAGCGGCUAAGCGAAAGCAUUAAGCAUCCCACCUGGGGAGUACGCCGGCAACGGUGAAACUCAAAGGAAUUGACGGGGGCCCGCACAAGCGGAGGAACAUGUGGUUUAAUUCGAUGAUACGCGAGGAACCUUACCCGGGCUUGAAUUGCAGAGGAAGGAUUUAGAGAUA